RNAcentral lists this unclassified non-coding RNA (442 nucleotides) under uncultured fungus. RNAcentral describes it as "partial contains 5.8S ribosomal RNA, internal transcribed spacer 2, and large subunit ribosomal RNA". The record is from RNAcentral. Lineage: Eukaryota; Fungi.
AACGCAUAUUGCGCUUCCUGGUAUUCCGGGGAGCAUGCUCGUUUCAGAAUCAUUUACAAAACUCACACUCUGUCUGAUAAAUUCUUAUAGACCUGACCGGCGGCCAGAGAUAGGGGAUAAAUUCCUUUUGAAUUAAUUUGGACACACUCUGUCUGAUAAAUUCUUAUAGACCUGACCGACGGCCAGAGGCAAUUAAGAUUGGACAAAAGUGUGGAUGUGAGCAUAGUGGUCUGCGCCGACACCCUCGGCACAUUCUUAUCGUUUGCUUUAAAAUGAUUUCGCGCAAUGAAGCUCUCUCAGUGCAACAGUUUUGUUUCCACAUUGGGAGUUGCAUAUUAUUGUGUGCGGUAUCCAUAAAUCCAUGUAUCACGGCGUCUGCAUGCUUGCAUGCAGGUCCGAUAACCUUGGUCUGAAAUCGAGCAAGAAAACCCGCUGAACUUAG